UACGGGGGGGGCAAGCGUUGUUCGGAAUUACUGGGCGUAAAGGGCUCGUAGGUGGCCAACUAAGUCGGACGUGAAAUCCCUCGGCUUAACCGGGGAACUGCGUCCGAUACUGGAUGGCUUGAGUUUGGGAGAGGGAUGCGGAAUUCCAGGUGUAGCGGUGAAAUGCGCAGAUAUCGGGAAGAACACCCGUGGCGAAGGCGGCUCUCUGGGACGGUACUGACGCUGAGACGCGAAAGCGUGGGGAGCAAACAGG
RNAcentral lists this ribosomal RNA (253 nucleotides) under uncultured bacterium. RNAcentral's name for it is "partial 16S ribosomal RNA". It matches the Rfam family "Bacterial small subunit ribosomal RNA", at positions 524 to 776 of the family's 1533-position model. The record is from RNAcentral.